GGUUAAGCGACUAAGCGUACACGGUGGAUGCCCUGGCAGUCAGAGGCGAUGAAGGACGUGCUAAUCUGCGAUAAGCGUCGGUAAGGUGAUAUGAACCGUUAUAACCGGCGAUUUCCGAAUGGGGAAACCCAGUGUGUUUCGACACACUAUCAUUAACUGAAUCCAUAGGUUAAUGAGGCGAACCGGGGGAACUGAAACAUCUAAGUACCCCGAGGAAAAGAAAUCAACCGAGAUUCCCCCAGUAGCGGCGAGCGAACGGGGAGCAGCCCAGAGCCUGAAUCAGUGUGUGUGUUAGUGGAAGCGUCUGGAAAGGCGCGCGAUACAGGGUGACAGCCCCGUACACAAAAAUGCACAUAUUGUGAGCUCGAUGAGUAGGGCGGGACACGUGGUAUCCUGUCUGAAUAUGGGGGGACCAUCCUCCAAGGCUAAAUACUCCUGACUGACCGAUAGUGAACCAGUACCGUGAGGGAAAGGCGAAAAGAACCCCGGCGAGGGGAGUGAAAAAGAACCUGAAACCGUGUACGUACAAGCAGUGGGAGCCUCUUUUAUGGGGUGACUGCGUACCUUUUGUAUAAUGGGUCAGCGACUUAUAUUCUGUAGCAAGGUUAACCGAAUAGGGGAGCCGAAGGGAAACCGAGUCUUAACUGGGCGUUAAGUUGCAGGGUAUAGACCCGAAACCCGGUGAUCUAGCCAUGGGCAGGUUGAAGGUUGGGUAACACUAACUGGAGGACCGAACCGACUAAUGUUGAAAAAUUAGCGGAUGACUUGUGGCUGGGGGUGAAAGGCCAAUCAAACCGGGAGAUAGCUGGUUCUCCCCGAAAGCUAUUUAGGUAGCGCCUCGUGAAUUCAUCUCCGGGGGUAGAGCACUGUUUCGGCAAGGGGGUCAUCCCGACUUACCAACCCGAUGCAAACUGCGAAUACCGGAGAAUGUUAUCACGGGAGACACACGGCGGGUGCUAACGUCCGUCGUGAAGAGGGAAACAACCCAGACCGCCAGCUAAGGUCCCAAAGUCAUGGUUAAGUGGGAAACGAUGUGGGAAGGCCCAGACAGCCAGGAUGUUGGCUUAGAAGCAGCCAUCAUUUAAAGAAAGCGUAAUAGCUCACUGGUCGAGUCGGCCUGCGCGGAAGAUGUAACGGGGCUAAACCAUGCACCGAAGCUGCGGCAGCGACACUAUGUGUUGUUGGGUAGGGGAGCGUUCUGUAAGCCUGUGAAGGUGUGCUGUGAGGCAUGCUGGAGGUAUCAGAAGUGCGAAUGCUGACAUAAGUAACGAUAAAGCGGGUGAAAAGCCCGCUCGCCGGAAGACCAAGGGUUCCUGUCCAACGUUAAUCGGGGCAGGGUGAGUCGACCCCUAAGGCGAGGCCGAAAGGCGUAGUCGAUGGGAAACAGGUUAAUAUUCCUGUACUUGGUGUUACUGCGAAGGGGGGACGGAGAAGGCUAUGUUGGCCGGGCGACGGUUGUCCCGGUUUAAGCGUGUAGGCUGGUUUUCCAGGCAAAUCCGGAAAAUCAAGGCUGAGGCGUGAUGACGAGGCACUACGGUGCUGAAGCAACAAAUGCCCUGCUUCCAGGAAAAGCCUCUAAGCAUCAGGUAACAUCAAAUCGUACCCCAAACCGACACAGGUGGUCAGGUAGAGAAUACCAAGGCGCUUGAGAGAACUCGGGUGAAGGAACUAGGCAAAAUGGUGCCGUAACUUCGGGAGAAGGCACGCUGAUAUGUAGGUGAAGCGACUUGCUCGUGGAGCUGAAAUCAGUCGAAGAUACCAGCUGGCUGCAACUGUUUAUUAAAAACACAGCACUGUGCAAACACGAAAGUGGACGUAUACGGUGUGACGCCUGCCCGGUGCCGGAAGGUUAAUUGAUGGGGUUAGCGCAAGCGAAGCUCUUGAUCGAAGCCCCGGUAAACGGCGGCCGUAACUAUAACGGUCCUAAGGUAGCGAAAUUCCUUGUCGGGUAAGUUCCGACCUGCACGAAUGGCGUAAUGAUGGCCAGGCUGUCUCCACCCGAGACUCAGUGAAAUUGAACUCGCUGUGAAGAUGCAGUGUACCCGCGGCAAGACGGAAAGACCCCGUGAACCUUUACUAUAGCUUGACACUGAACAUUGAGCCUUGAUGUGUAGGAUAGGUGGGAGGCUUUGAAGUGUGGACGCCAGUCUGCAUGGAGCCGACCUUGAAAUACCACCCUUUAAUGUUUGAUGUUCUAACGUUGACCCGUGAUCCGGGUUGCGGACAGUGUCUGGUGGGUAGUUUGACUGGGGCGGUCUCCUCCUAAAGAGUAACGGAGGAGCACGAAGGUUGGCUAAUCCUGGUCGGACAUCAGGAGGUUAGUGCAAUGGCAUAAGCCAGCUUGACUGCGAGCGUGACGGCGCGAGCAGGUGCGAAAGCAGGUCAUAGUGAUCCGGUGGUUCUGAAUGGAAGGGCCAUCGCUCAACGGAUAAAAGGUACUCCGGGGAUAACAGGCUGAUACCGCCCAAGAGUUCAUAUCGACGGCGGUGUUUGGCACCUCGAUGUCGGCUCAUCACAUCCUGGGGCUGAAGUAGGUCCCAAGGGUAUGGCUGUUCGCCAUUUAAAGUGGUACGCGAGCUGGGUUUAGAACGUCGUGAGACAGUUCGGUCCCUAUCUGCCGUGGGCGCUGGAGAACUGAGGGGGGCUGCUCCUAGUACGAGAGGACCGGAGUGGACGCAUCACUGGUGUUCGGGUUGUCAUGCCAAUGGCACUGCCCGGUAGCUAAAUGCGGAAGAGAUAAGUGCUGAAAGCAUCUAAGCACGAAACUUGCCCCGAGAUGAGUUCUCCCUGACCCUUUAAGGGUCCUGAAGGAACGUUGAAGACGACGACGUUGAUAGGCCGGGUGUGUAAGCGCAGCGAUGCGUUGAGCUAACCGGUACUAAUGAACCGUGAGGCUUAACCUU
RNAcentral lists this ribosomal RNA (2903 nucleotides) under Escherichia coli. Its description in RNAcentral is "23S ribosomal RNA". It matches the Rfam family "Bacterial large subunit ribosomal RNA". RNAcentral also lists the same sequence under 1 other name. The record is from RNAcentral. Lineage: Bacteria; Pseudomonadati; Pseudomonadota; Gammaproteobacteria; Enterobacterales; Enterobacteriaceae.